CCCCCACCCCCCAUCAGGUUCUCCAGUCUCUUGCUCAGGCAUUGACAUCAUCAGCAAGAGGUGGGCCUGGCUGGUCAGCAGGCUCUGGGAACGCUGGGAAGCAAACCACUAGCCAAUGGCCUGGCAUCCCAGCUGGGCAGCACAAGCUCACUCGGGAGGCAUGGAGGGCAGAUGGAGUAGUGGGGCUUAUUGCCUACUGGGCAGCACAGGAUGAAGUGUAUGGGCCAGAAAUGGUCACCUGCAGGGGAGCAGGGCCCUCAGCAGCACCGGGGCUCCGUGGGAAUGGCCAGGCUGAACCUCAUUCCAUCUGCAGGCAAGUGCUCCCCACGGCUGACCCUGCGGGGCUUUGAAGUGCCUUGAGGGGCCACACUCAAGCUCACAGACACCACUCGCCUCAGCCCUGCCCUUCUUGCCUCUACUGAGAACCUGGGCAGACGUGUGGCACAGUACACUGUGGAAAAUCUACUUAUAGGCUCUCGUGUUCUCCUCAUCCCUAGUGCACACCACGGAG
This 511-nucleotide long non-coding RNA is filed under the name Marmota monax (woodchuck). Lineage: Eukaryota; Metazoa; Chordata; Mammalia; Rodentia; Sciuridae. The record is from RNAcentral.